GCCCUGCUGGCGCAAUGGUAGCGCGCAAGACUUCUAUCUAUUAUGCAAUCCGUGCGAUGAGACGUCAAAAAUCUUAUGCGAGGAUUAGGUGAUCUUGAGGCUGUGGGUUCGACCCCCACGUAGGGCU
This is a non-coding RNA of Aspergillus sclerotioniger CBS 115572, 127 nucleotides long. NCBI's taxonomy places the organism in Eukaryota, Fungi, Ascomycota, Eurotiomycetes, Eurotiales, Aspergillaceae. The record is from the annotation of a RefSeq genome assembly.